This is a microRNA precursor of Rattus norvegicus (Norway rat), 118 nucleotides long. Ensembl annotates it as microRNA 3582. NCBI's taxonomy places the organism in Eukaryota, Metazoa, Chordata, Mammalia, Rodentia, Muridae. The record is from Ensembl.
GCUGGCUGUCCUGUGGCAAUCAAUGCAUAGCUACAGCUGGUUGAAGGGGACCAAAUCCAUUGAAGAGGCGAUUUGGUUCCAUUUUACCAGCUUUAGCAAAGCAUUGCCGCUGCUGGUU